GGGGGUAUGGUGUAAUGGAUAGCAUAACAUUCUGCGGAGUUGUUGAUCCGGGUUCGAAUCCUGGUGCCCCCACCA
RNAcentral lists this transfer RNA (75 nucleotides) under Methanobacteriota archaeon. RNAcentral's name for it is "Euryarchaeota archaeon tRNA-Arg". It matches the Rfam family "tRNA". Rfam says of the family: Transfer RNA (tRNA) molecules are approximately 80 nucleotides in length. The record is from RNAcentral. Lineage: Archaea; Methanobacteriati; Methanobacteriota. RNAcentral also lists the same sequence under 2 other names.